RNAcentral lists this ribosomal RNA (128 nucleotides) under Aphanocalyx heitzii. Its description in RNAcentral is "partial 18S ribosomal RNA". It matches the Rfam family "Eukaryotic small subunit ribosomal RNA", at positions 1713 to 1831 of the family's 1831-position model. The record is from RNAcentral. Lineage: Eukaryota; Viridiplantae; Streptophyta; Magnoliopsida; Fabales; Fabaceae.
GAUCGCGGUGACUUAAGCGACUCGCUGCCAACGAUGUCAUGAGAAGUCCACUAAACCUUAUCAUUUAAAGGAAGGAGAAUUCAUAACAAGGUUUCCAUAGGUGAACUUGUGGAAGGAUCAUUGUCGAU